GCUACGGGUGGCAGCAGUGAGGAAUAUUGGUCAAUGGACGCAAGUCUGAACCAGCCAAGUAGCGUGCAGGAUGACGGCCCUCCGGGUUGUAAACUGCUUUUAGUUGGGAAUAAAAGGGGGCUCGUGAGCCCCGUAUUGUAUGUACCAUCAGAAAAAGGACCGGCUAAUUCCGUGCCAGCAGCCGCGGUAAUACGGAAGGUCCGGGCGUUAUCCGGAUUUAUUGGGUUUAAAGGGAGCGUAGGCCGGCUUUUAAGUCAGCUGUGAAAGUCCGCGGCUCAACCGUGGAAUUGCAGUUGAAACUGGAGGCCUUGAGUGCACACAGGGAUGCCGGAAUUCAUGGUGUAGCGGUGAAAUGCUUAGAUAUCACGAAGAACUCCGAUUGCGAAGGCAGCCUACUAAACUGCCACUGACAUUGAUGCUCGAAAGCGUGGGGAGCAAACAGGAUUAGAUACCCCAGUAGUC
RNAcentral lists this ribosomal RNA (462 nucleotides) under uncultured bacterium. RNAcentral's name for it is "partial 16S ribosomal RNA". It matches the Rfam family "Bacterial small subunit ribosomal RNA", at positions 338 to 795 of the family's 1533-position model. The record is from RNAcentral.